This 430-nucleotide ribosomal RNA is filed under the name uncultured bacterium. RNAcentral describes it as "bacterial SSU rRNA". It matches the Rfam family "Bacterial small subunit ribosomal RNA", at positions 64 to 507 of the family's 1533-position model. The record is from RNAcentral.
GAACGUCCUUUCUCUUUUCGGAGAGGGAGGGAGUGGCGGACGGGUGAGUAACACAUGGGUGACCUGGCCCGAAGUGAGGGAUACCGGCGAGAAAUUGCCGACAAGCCCGCAUAGGCUCUUUUCUGUGGUAGGGAGAGAGCAAAGCCCUGCAAAGGGUGCUUUGGGAUGGGCCUGUGGCCGAUUAGCUAGUUGGUGGGGUAAGAGCCUACCAAGGCAGCGAUCGGUAGCUGGUCUGAGAGGACGAUCAGCCACACUGGGAUUGAGAACGGCCCAGACUCCUACGGGGGGCAGCAGUGAGGAAUUUUCGGCAAUGGGGGCAACCCUGACCGAGCAACGCCGCGUGCAGGAGGACGCUUUUCGGAGUGUAAACUGCUUUUCUGUGGGACGAGUAUGGACGGUACCACAGGAAGAAGCCCCGGCUAACUACGUG